UCUCAUAUUGGGCCAAUAGUAACCCUACCGUAGGACUUUGUAGGCCAAGGAUUUACCCCCCCAAGUGGUUUCCGCAGAUCCCUUCAUAUACUUCUUGUUGUGAUCCAGGUGGUGUGCCCAAAGCCCAGGGGACCAAGGCUAAGGCCAAGGUCCAUCAUUCAUGAGGGCUUCAUGGAGGCUCUAGGGCUAGUUGGGUCCUAGGUUG
RNAcentral lists this long non-coding RNA (205 nucleotides) under Elaeis guineensis (African oil palm). RNAcentral's name for it is "long non-coding RNA (EGUI_LNC023555)". The record is from RNAcentral. Lineage: Eukaryota; Viridiplantae; Streptophyta; Magnoliopsida; Arecales; Arecaceae.